This is a non-coding RNA of Rattus norvegicus (Norway rat), 1217 nucleotides long. Lineage: Eukaryota; Metazoa; Chordata; Mammalia; Rodentia; Muridae. The record is from RefSeq and is a predicted model, not a curated record.
GAUCUCAGAUUUCAAGGCCAUCCUCCACUACACAGUAUGUUCCAGGCUGACGAGAGCAACACAACAAAAGCCAAUUUCAAAAGGAGAAGAAAAAGAAAGAGUAGUAGUAGGAGAACAAGGUUAGAGUACCGAGAAUAAGCAAGCAUCCCUUAUACACCAUGCGUUCCAGUUUUACUUGUAUCUGGUAACGAUGUCCUGAAGAUAUGUGCCUGUUUAUCAGCGUCAGUGUCACCUGCAGUACUCCCUCAGUCUGUAGAGAGUGAAUCCGAUAAAUGAACUGUGGAAUAUUUGCACAAGAGAAAAUUACAGAGCCAUGAAAUGAGCCGAUUUCUGUUACACGGAGUGAUUGAGGCAAAUUAAUCACAGAAACACAACUCUGGAUAAAGUAACAGACAGAAAAUAAUUUCAUAUAUAAUCACAGGUACAGGCAGCACCAAGGCUGGAGUUAGAGUUAGAAGAUCCUCUUUGAACACAGCGGCAGUCCCGAGGCGUGGGAUAUGGCAGUUUGGUACCCGAGGAAAUCCCAGGAGCUGGAUGGUCACUUCCUGGUCCUCUGGCAUUUUUUCUAAAAGCUACAUAAAGGAAGCUGGAGACACUUGUCUGGAAUCCAUCACGAGGCUCUCAGUGAGACAUGCGAGGGUAUGGCAAGAAUCAGGAAUGGACCUACCUCUGAAGCCGCGUGCACAGAGGAGGAUCUAGAAAACUGGCCUUGCUCAGGACCUCCUGCACUUAUUACUGUGGGACGGCACCUCCGGGUUUACCCAGUCCUCUCUAACUAUCCGUCCUCACCACGCCAAGGUGCACAGCACAUCAGGUGCCCUCUCUUCCUUUGUGAGGGAUAGGAAAUGAACUUGGGGGCCUGCUUUUCACUCUCCACUCUGAGUUUUUUGUGAUGGUAUCUCAGCCAUGAAGUGAAUCUCAUUCCUUUUCACGGAGCAGCUCAUUCCGCAGGAUAACAAAGACCUACAGCAACACAUGACAAAUGACAAGGAAAGAACAAAAAACCUACGUCUCAUGUUUAAUUGUAUCAUGUCCACCUGAAUACGUUGAAAUGAAGAUUUCUAGAUUCAACUCAUACUCAGAGAACAGUGACAGAGAAAUGACUUAAUCCUGUUUUACAUUCUUCGACUAGAGAAUACCAUGCAUUGGUCAAUCUUAACUAGUGAAACCUAACUAAUAAAAGGCCUUGGAUGUAGCAGGGGAGAGCUACAUCUGAA